GCGGCGUGCCUAAUACAUGCAAGUCGAGCGAAUUUUUGGGAGCUUGCUCCCAAAAGUUAGCGGCGGACGGGUGAGUAACACGUGGGCAACCUGCCUAUAAGACUGGGAUAACUUCGGGAAACCGGAGCUAAUACCGGAUAAUUCUUAUCUACUCAUGUAGAUAAGCUGAAAGACGGUUUCGGCUGUCACUUAUAGAUGGGCCCGCGGCGCAUUAGCUAGUUGGUGAGGUAACGGCUCACCAAGGCAACGAUGCGUAGCCGACCUGAGAGGGUGAUCGGCCACACUGGGACUGAGACACGGCCCAGACUCCUACGGGAGGCAGCAGUAGGGAAUCUUCCGCAAUGGACGAAAGUCUGACGGAGCAACGCCGCGUGAGUGAUGAAGGUUUUCGGAUCGUAAAACUCUGUUGUUAGGGAAGAACAAGUACGAGAGUAACUGCUCGUACCUUGACGGUACCUAACCAGAAAGCCACGGCUAACUACGUGCCAGCAGCCGCGGUAAUACGUA
This 507-nucleotide ribosomal RNA is filed under the name uncultured Bacillus sp. RNAcentral's name for it is "bacterial SSU rRNA". It matches the Rfam family "Bacterial small subunit ribosomal RNA", at positions 39 to 529 of the family's 1533-position model. Lineage: Bacteria; Bacillati; Bacillota; Bacilli; Caryophanales; Bacillaceae. The record is from RNAcentral.